RNAcentral lists this ribosomal RNA (339 nucleotides) under Cormocephalus pyropygus. Its description in RNAcentral is "partial small subunit ribosomal RNA". Lineage: Eukaryota; Metazoa; Arthropoda; Chilopoda; Scolopendromorpha; Scolopendridae. The record is from RNAcentral.
UUAGUGUAAAUUGGGUUUUUUAGUAUUAAAAGUGUUCUUUAAAUUAAAAAAGUUUGGCGGUAUUUAAGUCUGACUAGAGGAACUUGGAGCUUAAACGAUGAUCCCCGAUAAUCUUACCUUAAUUUGUAUAUCAGCUUAUAUACCGUUGUCUUCAGAUUACGUUUUUAGAUGUUGUUGAUUAAAAUUUUUUAAGUCAGAUCAAGGUGUAGCUUAUGUUGAGGUUGCUGUGAGUUACAAUAUUAUUAAGUAUACGGAUUUUAGUAUGAAAUUUUUUGAUGAAGGUGGAUUUAGUUGUAAGUUUUAUUUAUUAUGUAAGGCUGAAUGAGUGCUUUUAUAUGU